Triticum urartu is the source of this 524-nucleotide non-coding RNA. The record is from RefSeq and is a predicted model, not a curated record. Lineage: Eukaryota; Viridiplantae; Streptophyta; Magnoliopsida; Poales; Poaceae.
UUUUGUUUCCUAGAAUCAUGCCCACCGCGCACGCGCAUACAAACUCCUGCAUGCACUUUUUUCGAUGGACGUUCAACCUGCUUUUGGCAUACCGAACGCCAAACCCCAUCUCCCAGGAAUAUAGGUUGUAAAAUUCAUACGCUUCUUCAACCGUGUCAAAGCUAGUUCCGAGCGACGGGUUAACAACUGUGCCACCCUUGUUUUCUGCAUAAGCUCUCAUCGAAGCCUCGAGGGCAGGGACUCUGCUUGGGUUGGCAUCCCUCUCUUCUGGCAAUUUGAUGGAGUUCCAAAUUUCUGGCCCUACAGCAAAAAACGAUGUCCUGGAGGUACAAUUUCUGUUCCAGCAGCAAAUCAAUACCAUAUGAGUGUGUGUUUCUUACCGUCGAGUCCAACAUGAAGCCUUUGUUUUGUUGACAACGACGCCUUCUGCAUCUCCCUCCUCUCCUAUUGAUGCAGAGGAAGUGUUCUGAGCCUUCACAUCGUUCGAGUCGCCAACGACCUCGCUCACACCGUUGUUGUAUGAC